AUACUUAGGGUGCGAGCGUUAAUCGGAAUUACUGGGCGUAAAGCGAGUGUAGGCGGCUGUAUAAGUCGGAUGUGAAAGCCCCGGGCUCAACCUGGGAAUUGCAUUCGAAACUGUACAGCUAGAGUUUGGUAGAGGUAAGUGGAAUUCAAGGUGUAGCGGUGAAAUGCGUAGAUAUCUUGAGGAACAUCAGUGGCGAAGGCGGCUUACUGGACCAAAACUGACGCUGAGGCUCGAAAGCGUGGGGAGCAAACAGGAUUAGAAACCCGAGUAGUCC
This 274-nucleotide ribosomal RNA is filed under the name uncultured bacterium. Its description in RNAcentral is "partial 16S ribosomal RNA". It matches the Rfam family "Bacterial small subunit ribosomal RNA", at positions 523 to 796 of the family's 1533-position model. The record is from RNAcentral.